CACCCAACAGCUAGCCCACCUAAACAAUUUCAACUACCCCCUGUUAAUAACCCCUAAGUACCCCAGUAUUUAAAUUAAACAAACCAUUUUUCCCCCUUAGUAUAGGCGAUAGAAAAGGGACUACGGCGCAAUAGAGAAAGUACCGCAAGGGAAUGCUGAAAGAGAAAUGAAACAACCCAGUUAAGCCUAAAAAAGCAGAGAUUUAACCUCGUACCUUUUGCAUCAUGAUUUAGCGAGUGUACCCCAAGCAAAGCGUGCUUUAGUUUGACGUCCCGAAACUAAGUGAGCUACUUCAAGACAGCCUAUUAAUAGGGCACACCCGUCUCUGUGGCAAAAGAGUGGGACGAGCUUUGAGUAGAGGUGACAAACCUACCGAACCUAGUUAUAGCUGGUUGUCCAAGAAAUGAAUAGAAGUUCAGCCUCUUGGCUUCUCUUUUCACCCUGGUUUAACCCCUAUUGAUGUAUUAAGAAACCAAGAGAGUUAGUCAAAGGGGGUACAGCCCCUUUGAAUCAAGACACAACUUUACCAGGCGGGUAAAGAUCAUA
This 546-nucleotide ribosomal RNA is filed under the name Rastrinus scutiger (roughskin sculpin). RNAcentral's name for it is "partial 16S ribosomal RNA". It matches the Rfam family "Bacterial large subunit ribosomal RNA", at positions 166 to 1050 of the family's 2925-position model. Lineage: Eukaryota; Metazoa; Chordata; Actinopteri; Perciformes; Cottidae. The record is from RNAcentral.